This 356-nucleotide ribosomal RNA is filed under the name uncultured Streptococcus sp. Its description in RNAcentral is "bacterial SSU rRNA". It matches the Rfam family "Bacterial small subunit ribosomal RNA", at positions 1026 to 1384 of the family's 1533-position model. The record is from RNAcentral. Lineage: Bacteria; Bacillati; Bacillota; Bacilli; Lactobacillales; Streptococcaceae.
CAUCGGUGACAGGUGGUGCAUGGUUGUCGUCAGCUCGUGUCGUGAGAUGUUGGGUUAAGUCCCGCGACGAGCGCAACCCCUAUUGUUAGUUGCCAUCAUUCAGUUGGGCACUCUGCGAGACUGCCGGUAAUAAACCGGAGGAAGGUGGGGAUGACGUCAAAUCAUCAUGCCCCUUAUGACCUGGGCUACACACGUGCUACAAUGGUUGGUACAACGAGUUGCGAGUCGGUGACGGCGAGCUAAUCUCUUAAAGCCAAUCUCAGUUCGGAUUGUAGGCUGCAACUCGCCUACAUGAAGUCGGAAUCGCUAGUAAUCGCGGAUCAGCACGCCGCGGUGAAUACGUUCCCGGGCCUUGU